AUGGCCGAGCGCUUCCCUGGUGACGGCGCGGCGGCGAACGGCUUCGGCCGCCGCCAUCUCCACGAAGACGAGGCUCGCCUCCUUUAUGAGGCCGGGUACCCGGUCCCGCCGGACAUGCGGGUGCCCGGCGCGUGGAGGAUCAGCGCCGGCGGCGUGCCGGUGCCACCACCACCCACCGGGGCGGCGCGGCGUGCGGAGAUCGCACGCAUCCGCGCGUCCCUACCGCGGCCGGCGAGGGAGGGGCCACGGUACGUCCCCGACAGCCCGCUCUGGGAGUCCUACUUCCGCCGCCGUCACACCGAGCAGCUCGAGGCCACCAACGGCGUCGAGCCCUCCGGCAGGCUCAACUCCAACGGCCGGCGCCGGUGGUGGGGCGUGCCCGGGCGCACGUUGGAGGCCGUCCUCGAGUACAUCGAGGGCGGCAACACGCCGCCCCUCGCGUACCCCGAUCCCCCGUCCUUCUCACGCCGCCGGGGAAGUUCCUGGACCCCGAGGCGCAUGGAGACCGGGGGGUCCUCCUCGUCAUCCGGCGGCUCGCCCUGCCUCCGCCCCGUCAAGCCGGAGCCCCAGGACACGCCGGUCAGUGCCCGCACGCGCAGCUCCGACGUCCGCAUCGGCGGCGCCAACGCCUCCCCACCCACCAGCCACUUCGUCCUCGUCAAGUCCAAGCCGGAGCGCGGCCUCCCCGCGGAGUACGAGGAGAUAGCCCGGCGCGGCAUCUCCGACGAGGACGCCCUGCGCUGGGCGCGGGACGACUACCUUCGCGACGAGAUGGUCCGGCAGCGCCGGGCCCUGGAGGAGAUCGCCGCCCGCAAGCGUGGGCGCGAGGACGAGCACUGCGUCGUGGUCCUCGACAGCGACGACGACGACGACGCCCCCGGACCGUCCAACCCGCCGCGCCAACCGGGGGAGGGAUGCAGCAGGGGCGACGGAGGCGCAGGCGGGGGGCGGCGACGACGACGACGACGGCGGCGGCGACUACACGCGGUUUUACCGCCUCCUCGGCAUGUAAAUCGCGUGGGCGGGCGGCGAGGGGGACGGCGGGGGUAG
This 1050-nucleotide ribosomal RNA is filed under the name Triticum aestivum (bread wheat). RNAcentral describes it as "partial small subunit ribosomal RNA". Lineage: Eukaryota; Viridiplantae; Streptophyta; Magnoliopsida; Poales; Poaceae. The record is from RNAcentral.